Molecule: long non-coding RNA, 949 nt
Filed under: Capra hircus (goat)
Lineage: Eukaryota; Metazoa; Chordata; Mammalia; Artiodactyla; Bovidae
Description: lncRNA (ENSCHIG00010022937.1)
Source: RNAcentral
CUGCAGUCAUCAUCUGCAGUGAUUUUGGAGCCCAAAAAAAUAGUCUGACAGACUUCAUAAAAGUAAAUGUAUUCAAUAUAAAGAAUUUCAUUUUUGGAGAGUAUGUUUUUUCCUUUAUGAAAUGCCUGUAUUGGUAAAUUUGUAGGUUAUUUUUGUUUUUUUAAUGUCUUCACUUGACAAAAUUAAUAGCAACCUGACUGGGUUCCACUUUAAAGUUUGAGAAGUCUAGUAGUCUGGGGGUACUAUUGGAUCAGGCUGUUAUUUGUAAAGUGCCCUGAAUUAGUAAGUAAAAUGAUCUAGGAAAAUUCCAUUAGAGUCAAACUGACAUUUUUUUAGCUGAGCUAGUUGUAGAAAACAUAGCCAUCAACUUAAGUCUUAAUAAAGUGCAUCUUUUGAAUACCUGAUUUCUGUUGAGUUGUGGAAGCCUUUUGUGUGUAGCUAGGUUUUAUUUAUGCUUAAGACGGUUGUAGUUCUUACAUGUAUGUUUGUUUUUAGUCUAGUUUCUUAUUUCUGGGUUUUUAUACUGCUAUUUGGGAUUAAUUUCUACAGUCCUUGGGAUCUCUUUAUGUGGUAAAUACAUAAAUAGCAAAGUCUACCAGGAAUUAUAUAGGAAAUUAAAUAAUGUUUUUGAUAGGUUCUCUGAUUCUUAUGCUAUAAAAUGUGUCCAGAUGCACAAGCAUGUCCCUGUGGAGGGACAUUUCUGCACUUGAUAGUGCUCAGUACUUAAAAUCUUGCUUCAUUCACAUGCUUAUUAGCAGAAUGAGCUCCUCAGAGAUUUUUGUGCAAGUAUUACUGUGAAAUCUAGAAUCAGGAAUUACAUUGCCACAUUUUGUUUUGAAAUGGAUGGUUUUUUCUUUUAAACCCUAAGCAAUCUUAAUCUUACCAUGCUUAAGCAGGAAGCCAGGGAAUAGUACUUGAGAGUAAAGAAGUGACUGGUAUGUUUUUCUCU